GACGAACGCUGGCGGCGUGCUUAACACAUGCAAGUCGAGCGGUAAGGCCCUUUCGGGGGUACACGAGCGGCGAACGGGUGAGUAACACGUGGGUGACCUGCCCUCAGCUCUGGGAUAAGCCUGGGAAACUGGGUCUAAUACUGGAUAUGACUCCACGGUGCAUGUCGUGGGGUGGAAAGCCUUGUGCGGCUGAGGAUGGGCCCGCGGCCUAUCAGCUUGUUGGUGGGGUGAGGCCUACCAAGGCGACGACGGGUAGCCGGCCUGAGAGGGCGACCGGCCGACACUGGGACUGAGACACGGCCCAGACUCCUACGGGAGGCAGCAGUGGGGAAUCUUGCGCAAUGGGCGAAAGCCUGACGCAGCGACGCCGCGUGAGGGAUGACGGCCUU
RNAcentral lists this ribosomal RNA (389 nucleotides) under uncultured bacterium. RNAcentral describes it as "bacterial SSU rRNA". It matches the Rfam family "Bacterial small subunit ribosomal RNA", at positions 28 to 418 of the family's 1533-position model. The record is from RNAcentral.